Molecule: ribosomal RNA, 109 nt
Filed under: Erinaceus europaeus (western European hedgehog)
Lineage: Eukaryota; Metazoa; Chordata; Mammalia; Eulipotyphla; Erinaceidae
Source: RNAcentral
ACCUGCAGCCACACCGCCCAGAAUGUGCCUGCUCUCAUCUGAUCUCUGAGGCUAAGUGGCGCUGGGCCUGGUUAGUACGUGGAAAGGAGCAAAGACAGAUUGCCGAGUU